UGGGGAAUAUUGGACAAUGGGGGGAACCCUGAUCCAGCCAUGCCGCGUGUGUGAAGAAGGCCUUAUGGUUGUAAAGCACUUUAAGCGAGGAGGAGGCUCUUUUGGUUAAUACCCAAGAUGAGUGGACGUUACUCGCAGAAUAAGCACCGGCUAACUCUGUGCCAGCAGCCGCGGUAAUACAGAGGGUGCGAGCGUUAAUCGGAUUUACUGGGCGUAAAGCGUGCGUAGGCGGCUUUUUAAGUCGGAUGUGAAAUCCCCGAGCUUAACUUGGGAAAUGCAUUCGAUACUGGGAAGCUAGAGUAUGGGAGAGGAUGGUAGAAUUCCAGGUGUAGCGGUGAAAUGCGUAGAGAUCUGGAGGAAUACCGAUGGCGAAGGCAGCCAUCUGGCCUAAUACUGACGCUGAGGUACGAAAGCAUGGGGAGCAAACAGG
Molecule: ribosomal RNA, 430 nt
Filed under: Pseudomonadota bacterium
Lineage: Bacteria; Pseudomonadati; Pseudomonadota
Description: Proteobacteria bacterium partial 16S ribosomal RNA
Rfam family: Bacterial small subunit ribosomal RNA
Source: RNAcentral